AUUAAAAUAGUUUAAAUAAAAUAUUGAUUUGUGGGAUCAAAGAUUUACUAUUAUUUUAAUU
RNAcentral lists this transfer RNA (61 nucleotides) under Cacopsylla melanoneura. RNAcentral describes it as "tRNA-His". The record is from RNAcentral. Lineage: Eukaryota; Metazoa; Arthropoda; Insecta; Hemiptera; Psyllidae.